This is a long non-coding RNA of Pogoniulus pusillus (Red-fronted tinkerbird), 948 nucleotides long. RefSeq lists it as uncharacterized. Lineage: Eukaryota; Metazoa; Chordata; Aves; Piciformes; Lybiidae. The record is from RefSeq and is a predicted model, not a curated record. The transcript is spliced from 7 exons.
UGUCUGUGCUGCCUCAGCUAGGCUGCAUCUUAUUUUCUCCUGCUUAGGUUAGUAACGAUAGAGUAGGGAAAGAUAGCAGCAAUCUUUAUUAGAGAGGAAGCUACACUAAUUAGCAAUGGAAGGCAAAGGUCCACAGCUCAGGAAGCAGGCAGAACCCAUGACACAGUGGGAGUCAUCCAAGUUACUGCCCAGCCUGUAGUGUGUCUGCUCAUGUGCACGUAGGAAGGCUUUAUGUAGGUAUGCAAGGUGUCAAACCUGUGGUGCCAGAACCUGGAAGAGGAGCAGCUGUUGGAUUCCACAAUCCCUGCUUGGUCCAGGAGCCUAUGCAAAACCACUACUAUUACAGUCAUCAGACAUCAGCUCUGUAACAUAAAAAAGCAGAUCAGUUUGAUAUGCCCUUUUGCUCCAGCGUCAUGUGAAGAGGUACCAUGAGCAGGGUCCUCCUGAAAAGGCAACUGAUGGCUUGAGACAUGUGGGCCAACCAUCCAUCUGAGGCGAAGCGGAAACCAAGAGUGAUUGCCUGCAGCGCCAUAAAGAGCUAAAGAGCCAUUUUCAACAGGGGUAUAGAUGAAGUUCUUGUGAAAUGUAGAGCCAGAACCAUGGAAGUGACUUUAUUAAAGUGGACCAUUUUGUUUCAGUCUAUUGAGUAAAGAGCUAUAAAACAUGGACAUCGGAGUGAAAGAAAAAGAGAGGAGAAAAUGGCAAGCAGAAGCACCAAAUCAUAUGGCAGGAGCUGUUGCAUGAAGCGAGAGGAAGGAGCAGUCCGAGUCACUGAGGCUCAGCACUCCACAGCAGAAGGAGCACUCAACAGAUCAACAGGUUAAGCUUUCCUUUGGAUGGAGAUGUGGCCUGCUCUCUGUGAGGGAGUAAAGAAACCUUGAAGUGAAGCAAUCUGUAACAUCCACAACCGUGCCAGAAUACCUACCAAAUCAGUGUGCUCCUUCCCCC